AUCCCAGAUAGUGUUGUUUUCUGUCUAUCUGAUUCAUGGGAGGCAUAUAUCAAAAUGGGAGUUUGCUGAUAACACCUUUUUUAGAAAGGUGUUUUACUAGUACCUCACCAUACAUGU
Molecule: non-coding RNA, 117 nt
Organism: Populus trichocarpa (black cottonwood)
Lineage: Eukaryota; Viridiplantae; Streptophyta; Magnoliopsida; Malpighiales; Salicaceae
Source: Rfam